GAUGGUGAUCGCUCACACCAAAGCCUUGGACCCCUCCCGGCCUGUGACCUUUGUGAGCAACUCUAACUAUGCAGCAGACAAGGGGGCUCCGUAUGUGGACGUGAUCUGUUUGAACAGCUACUACUCUUGGUAUCAUGACUACGGGCACCUGGAGUUGAUUCAGCUGCAGCUGGCCACCCAGUUUGAGAACUGGUAUAAGAAGUAUCAGAAGCCCAUUAUUCAGAGCGAGUAUGGAGCGGAAACGAUUGCAGGGUUUCACCAGGAUCCACC
RNAcentral lists this small RNA (270 nucleotides) under Pongo abelii (Sumatran orangutan). Its description in RNAcentral is "processed transcript". The record is from RNAcentral. Lineage: Eukaryota; Metazoa; Chordata; Mammalia; Primates; Hominidae.